AUACGUAGGUGACAAGCGUUAUCCGGAUUUACUGGGCGUAAAGGGCGUGUAGGCGGUCUUACAAGUCAGAUGUGAAAUUCCCGGGCUCAACUUGGGCGCUGCAUCUGAAACUGCAAGACUUGAGUGCUGGAGGGGAUAGCGGAAUUCCUAGUGGAGCGGUAAAAUGCGCAUAGAUUAGGAAGAACACCGGUGGCGAAGGCGGCUAUCUGGACAGUAACUGACGCUGAGGCGCGAAAGCGUGGGGAGAAAACAGGAUUAGAUACCCGGGUAGUCCACGCCGUAAACGAUGAAUACUAGGUGUAGGGGGUAUCGACUCCCUCUGUGCCGCAGUUAACACAAUAAGUAUUCCGCCUGGGGAGUACGGCCGCAAGGUUGAAACUCAAAGGAAUUGGCGGGG
This 397-nucleotide ribosomal RNA is filed under the name uncultured bacterium. Its description in RNAcentral is "partial 16S ribosomal RNA". It matches the Rfam family "Bacterial small subunit ribosomal RNA", at positions 523 to 918 of the family's 1533-position model. The record is from RNAcentral.